RNAcentral lists this ribosomal RNA (870 nucleotides) under uncultured bacterium. RNAcentral describes it as "bacterial SSU rRNA". It matches the Rfam family "Bacterial small subunit ribosomal RNA", at positions 35 to 889 of the family's 1533-position model. The record is from RNAcentral.
GCUGGCGGCAGGCCUAACACAUGCAAGUCGGACGGUAACAGGAGAGAAGCUUGCUUUUCUUGCUGACGAGUGGCGGACGGGUGAGUAACGCGUGGGAAUCUACCCUUUAGUUGGGGACAACAUAUGGAAACGUAUGCUAAUACCGAAUAUGCUCUACGGAGUAAAGGUGCCCUCUCCUUGGAAGGUAUCGCUAAAGGAUGAGCCCGCGUUAGAUUAGCUAGUUGGUAGGGUAAAGGCCUACCAAGGCGACGAUCUAUAGCUGGUUUGAGAGGAUGAUCAGCCACACUGGGACUGAGACACGGCCCAGACUCCUACGGGAGGCAGCAGUGGGGAAUAUUGCACAAUGAGGGAAACCUUGAUGCAGCCAUGCCGCGUGUGUGAAGAAGGCCCGAGGGUUGUAAAGCACUUUCAAUUGUGAGGAAGAUUAAGUAGCUAAUACCUGCUUAGUUUGACGUUAACUUUAGAAGAAGCACCGGCUAACUCUGUGCCAGCAGCCGCGGUAAUACAGAGGGUGCAAGCGUUAUUCGGAAUUACUGGGCGUAAAGCGCGCGUAGGCGGACUGUUAAGUCGGUUGUGAAAGCCCUGGGCUCAACCUAGGAACUGCAUCCGAUACUGGCAAUCUAGAGUUUAAGAGAGGGAAGUGGAAUUCCAGGUGUAGCAGUGAAAUGCGUAGAUAUCUGGAGGAACAUCAGUGGCGAAGGCGACUUCCUGGCUUAAAACUGACGCUGAGGUGCGAAAGCUUGGGUAGCGAACGGGAUUAGAUACCCCGGUAGUCCAAGCCGUAAACGAUGUCAACUAGCUGUUGGUCUUAUUAAAAAGAUUAGUAGCGCAGCUAACGCGAUAAGUUGACCGCCUGGGGAGUACGGUCGC